UGGAGGCAGCAGUGGGGAAUAUUGCACAAUGGGGGAAACCCUGAUGCAGCAACGCCGCGUGAGCGACGAAGGCCUUCGGGUUGUAAAGCUCUGUCUUCUCUGACGAAGUAAUGACGGUAAGAGAGGAGGAAGCCACGGCUAACUACGUGCCAGCAGCCGCGGUAAUACGUAGGUGGCAAGCGUUGUCCGGAAUUAUUGGGCGUAAAGGGUGCGUAGGUGGCAGUUUAAGUGGGAUGUGAAAUACCUGGGCUUAACUCAGGGAUUGCAUUCCAAACUGGACUGCUAGAGUGCAGGAGAGGAAAGUGGAAUUCCCAGUGUAGCGGUGAAAUGCGUAGAGAUUGGGAGGAACACCAGUGGCGAAGGCGACUUUCUGGACUGUAACUGACACUGAGGCACGAAAGCGUGGGGAGCAAACAGGAUUAGAUACCCCGGU
RNAcentral lists this ribosomal RNA (433 nucleotides) under uncultured bacterium. Its description in RNAcentral is "bacterial SSU rRNA". It matches the Rfam family "Bacterial small subunit ribosomal RNA", at positions 343 to 791 of the family's 1533-position model. The record is from RNAcentral.